AGUGAACGCUGGCGGUAGGCCUAACACAUGCAAGUCGAACGGCAGCACAGUAAGAGCUUGCUCUUACGGGUGGCGAGUGGCGGACGGGUGAGGAAUACAUCGGAAUCUACUUUUUCGUGGGGGAUAACGUAGGGAAACUUACGCUAAUACCGCAUACGACCUACGGGUGAAAGCAGGGGAUCUUCGGACCUUGCGCGAUUGAAUGAGCCGAUGUCGGAUUAGCUAGUUGGCGGGGUAAAGGCCCACCAAGGCGACGAUCCGUAGCUGGUCUGAGAGGAUGAUCAGCCACACUGGAACUGAGACACGGUCCAGACUCCUACGGGAGGCAGCAGUGGGGAAUAUUGGACAAUGGGCGCAAGCCUGAUCCAGCCAUACCGCGUGGGUGAAGAAGGCCUUCGGGUUGUAAAGCCCUUUUGUUGGGAAAGAAAAGCAGUAGGUUAAUACCCCGCUGUUCUGACGGUACCCAAAGAAUAAGCGCCGGCUAACUUCGUG
RNAcentral lists this ribosomal RNA (492 nucleotides) under uncultured bacterium. RNAcentral's name for it is "partial 16S ribosomal RNA". It matches the Rfam family "Bacterial small subunit ribosomal RNA", at positions 29 to 507 of the family's 1533-position model. The record is from RNAcentral.